GGCAUGCUCUUUCCCGUCAGCCCCUGCGCGUUAUAAAUACCCAUGUCGUACGUCCCACAUUCUUUUCUAGGCGCGUGGGAAGAAGAGAAAGCCUUGAGAACCUCAUUAGAUGCUGAAGAGGGCAUUUGAUCCACAGGAGAACAUGUCCAGUUUGGAAAUGCAAGUACGCUUGAAAGUUCAUUGCAUGCUGUUGGAAUGGCCAUAUAAUCCUGAAAUGGCAGGUAUUCUGCAUUUGCUACGUCAUGCUGCUAGUUGUAAAUCAUACCUGGGGCCUGAGCAAGGAUGAGGGGCUGAAUUCUGGAAGUGGCGAGAUUAAGACUUCUGCACAUCAUGGACACUGGAGCUCCACAAGAGUCAACCAGGCUGUUUUAAAUGGAAGAAGAAUAACCAGGAGAAAAAGAGCUGGAGAAGAUGCUGAGGAUGUGGUCUUGUGAAAGCACCAGCUAUUUAAGCGUAGGUCAGAAGAGAACAAAGUCUUACAGAUCAACGGAACAAUCCUGGAGAAAUGGCUGCCUUUGGUCUCCACCUUCAGUAUGCCUUCAAGUCUACAAUUCCCACCAUCCCUGGUUGCUGACUAUGCUGGUGGGAUUCGGAAGGCCCCAACAUCGACGGCACUAGGAUGGCUUUCUCUGGCAGCAACAUGAUGGAAGAAAAGCUGCAUUGCUGCAGAUACUAAUAUGAGCAGGAAUGACUUCCAAAGCCUUAAUGCGGAGAAUUACUAUCUUGCUUUUUUUCCUGAUUAGCAGCUGCCGCCGUAGUGGUAACAAAACAGCAAGCUGCGACACACUGCUUGUGUGCUCUGAGCAAAGGUGGUUGAGGGAAACACUUAAAUGGGGACAAAGAUAAUGGUCCAAAACCAAAUUGGGAUGAAGAGGUUUUCUGCAUUUGCAGAAUUUGACAACUGAUGCAUGCAUGCCUCCCCCCCCUUGCAAGUAACAGCGGCUUCAGAUUUCAAGAACUAUGCUAUUUACCUGUAAGAGAUGGCUUGUUGAACACCAAUAAAGCAUAUUAUUCU
Lacerta agilis (Sand lizard) is the source of this 1015-nucleotide long non-coding RNA. RefSeq lists it as uncharacterized. The transcript has 5 exons. NCBI's taxonomy places the organism in Eukaryota, Metazoa, Chordata, Lepidosauria, Squamata, Lacertidae. The record is from RefSeq and is a predicted model, not a curated record.